This 444-nucleotide ribosomal RNA is filed under the name uncultured bacterium. RNAcentral's name for it is "bacterial SSU rRNA". It matches the Rfam family "Bacterial small subunit ribosomal RNA", at positions 958 to 1387 of the family's 1533-position model. The record is from RNAcentral.
AACGCGAAGAACCUUACCAGCUCUUGACAUGUCUCGUAUGGGCCGGGGAGACCCGGUUCUUCAGUUCGGCUGGCGGGAACACAGGUGCUGCAUGGCUGUCGUCAGCUCGUGUCGUGAGAUGUUGGGUUAAGUCCCGCAACGAGCGCAACCCUUAUCCCUAGUUGCCAUCGGGUCAAGCCGGGCACUCUAGUGAAACUGCCUGGGAUAACCAGGAGGAAGGUGGGGAUGACGUCAAGUCCUCAUGGCCUUUAUGUCCAGGGCUACACACGUGCUACAAUGGUCGGUACAAACCGUCGCAAACCCGUGAGGGGGAGCUAAUCGGAAAAAGCCGACCUCAGUUCGGAUUGGAGUCUGCAACUCGACUCCAUGAAGCUGGAAUCGCUAGUAAUCGCGGAUCAGAACGCCGCGGUGAAUACGUUCCCGGGCCUUGUACACAGACUGUAC